GAUGAACGCUGGCGGCGUGCCUAAUACAUGCAAGUCGAGCGAACGGACGAGAAGCUUGCUUCUCUGAUGUUAGCGGCGGACGGGUGAGUAACACGUGGAUAACCUACCUAUAAGACUGGGAUAACUUCGGGAAACCGUAGCUAAUACCGGAUAAUAUUUUGAACCGCAUGGUUCAAAAGUGAAAGACGGUCUUGCUGUCACUUAUAGAUGGAUCCGCGCUGCAUUAGCUAGUUGGUAAGGUAACGGCUUAUCAAGGCAACGAUGCAUAGCCGACCUGAGAGGGUGAUCGGCGACACUGGAACUGAGACACGGUCCAGACUCCUACGGGAGGCAGCAGUAGGGAAUCUUCCGCAAUGGGCGAAAGCCUGACGGAGCAACGCCGCGUGAGUGAUGAAGGUCUUCGGAUCGGAAAACUCUGUUAUUAGGGAAGAACAUAUGUGUAAGUAACUGUGCACAUCUUGACGGUACCUAAUCAGAAAGCCACGGCUAACUACGUG
Molecule: ribosomal RNA, 497 nt
Filed under: uncultured bacterium
Lineage: Bacteria
Description: partial 16S ribosomal RNA
Rfam family: Bacterial small subunit ribosomal RNA
Source: RNAcentral